GAUGAACGCUGGCGGCGUGCUUAACACAUGCAAGUCGAACGGAAAGGCCAGUGCUUGCACUGGUACUCGAGUGGCGAACGGGUGAGUAACACGUGGGUGAUCUGCCCUGCACUUCGGGAUAAGCCUGGGAAACUGGGUCUAAUACCGGAUAGGACAAUGGUUUGGAUGCCGUUGUGGAAAGUUUUUUCGGUGUGGGAUGAGCUCGCGGCCUAUCAGCUUGUUGGUGGGGUAAUGGCCUACCAAGGCGUCGACGGGUAGCCGGCCUGAGAGGGUGUACGGCCACAUUGGGACUGAGAUACGGCCCAGGCUCCUACGGGAGGCAGCAGUGGGGAAUAUUGCACAAUGGGCGCAAGCCUGAUGCAGCGACGCCGCGUGGGGGAUGACGGCCUUCGGGUUGUAAACUCCUUUCGCUAGGGACGAAGCGUAUUUGUGACGGUACCUGGAGAAGAAGCACCGGCUAACUACGUG
RNAcentral lists this ribosomal RNA (468 nucleotides) under uncultured bacterium. Its description in RNAcentral is "partial 16S ribosomal RNA". It matches the Rfam family "Bacterial small subunit ribosomal RNA", at positions 28 to 507 of the family's 1533-position model. The record is from RNAcentral.